GAUGAACGCUGGCGGCGUGCCUAAUACAUGCCAGUCGAGCGAACAGACGAGGAGCUUGCUCCUCUGACGUUAGCGGCGGACGGGUGAGUAACACGUGGAUAACCUACCUAUAAGACUGGGAUAACUUCGGGAAACCGGAGCUAAUACCGGAUAAUAUAUUGAACCGCAUGGUUCAAUAGUGAAAGACGGUUUUGCUGUCACUUAUAGAUGGAUCCGCGCCGCAUUAGCUAGUUGGUACGGUAACGGCUUACCAAGGCAACGAUGCGUAGCCGACCUGAGAGGGUGGUCGGCCACACUGGAACGGGGCCACCGUCCAGACUCCUACGGGAGGCAGCAGUAGGGAAUCUUCCGCAAUGGGCGAAAGCCUGACGGAGCAACGCCGCGUGAGUGAUGGAGGUCUUCGGAUCGUAAAACUCUGUUAUUAGGGAAGAACAAAUGUGUAAGUAACUAUGCACGUCUUGACGGUACCUAAUCAGAAAGCCACGGCUAACUACGUG
This 497-nucleotide ribosomal RNA is filed under the name uncultured bacterium. Its description in RNAcentral is "partial 16S ribosomal RNA". It matches the Rfam family "Bacterial small subunit ribosomal RNA", at positions 28 to 507 of the family's 1533-position model. The record is from RNAcentral.